AGAGUUUGAUCAUGGCUCAGAAUCAACGCUGGCGGCAUGCCUAACACAUGCAAGUCGAGCGAGAAAGUGUAGCAAUACAUGAGUAAAGCGGCGCACGGGUGAGUAACACGUGGAUAACCUGCCUCAAAGUGGGGAAUAACACCGGGAAACCGGUGCUAAUACCGCAUAUUCUGAUGAGAUCUGCGGAUUUUGUCAGGAAAGGAGCAAUUCGCUAUGAGAGGGGUCCGCGGCUGAUUAGCUAGUUGGUGAGGUAAUGGCUCACCAAGGCUUCGAUCAGUAGCCGGUCUGAGAGGACGGUCGGCCACACUGGAACUGAGACACGGUCCAGACUCCUACGGGAGGCAGCAGUGGGGAAUUUUUCGCAAUGGGGGAAACCCUGACGAAGCAAUGCCGCGUGGAUGAUGAAGUAUCUCGGUACGUAAAAUCCUUUCGACGGGGACGAAGCCGCAAGGUGACGGUACCCGAGAAGAGCCC
RNAcentral lists this ribosomal RNA (474 nucleotides) under uncultured Acidobacteriaceae bacterium. Its description in RNAcentral is "bacterial SSU rRNA". It matches the Rfam family "Bacterial small subunit ribosomal RNA", at positions 8 to 492 of the family's 1533-position model. Lineage: Bacteria; Pseudomonadati; Acidobacteriota; Terriglobia; Terriglobales; Acidobacteriaceae. The record is from RNAcentral.